AGAGCUUACAAUUGAUCUGACAGUUACACUGAGCUUCACUCCAGGGUUCUCUCUAGAUGUUCAUCCUCCUCUUCAGCUCUGCAAGGAUACAUAGAGAAUGCUCAGAAGCACAGCCCCCUGCAUGGCUAAAUCAGUGCCUGACCAGCGGCUACAUUAGUGGGCUCUACAUGUAAAGGGGUUAGACAGAGACUUGCCCCCUAACAAUGAGGCUGCUAAUCCCCGUUAACCUGUUACUGACCCCCCAAUGGGGGCCCCCACCAGAGGGUGACCUGGAGACUGGGUGAAAACAAGCAAAACAGCAGA
Long non-coding RNA from Xenopus tropicalis (tropical clawed frog), 303 nucleotides. RefSeq lists it as uncharacterized. Lineage: Eukaryota; Metazoa; Chordata; Amphibia; Anura; Pipidae. The transcript is spliced from 3 exons. The record is from RefSeq and is a predicted model, not a curated record.